UGCCUCAUUGGGUAAUUGGUAGCCCCCCGAAUUUUGGUUUCGGAUUGUCUAGGUUCGAGUCCUAGUGAGGCAGC
Molecule: transfer RNA, 74 nt
Filed under: Mycobacteroides abscessus
Lineage: Bacteria; Bacillati; Actinomycetota; Actinomycetes; Mycobacteriales; Mycobacteriaceae
Also listed under: 2 other names
Description: tRNA-Gln(ttg)
Rfam family: tRNA
About the family: Transfer RNA (tRNA) molecules are approximately 80 nucleotides in length. Their secondary structure includes four short double-helical elements and three loops (D, anti-codon, and T loops).
Source: RNAcentral